CCGGGCGAGGUGCGCGAGGUGCAGAAAAGGAUGCCGGGCUGCGGAGCUGGCUUGGCCUGAGGAUUAUAAGGAUUCACUAGACAACUCCUGAAAACGGACUAAAUCCAACUCUCCCAGAAAACAGUGCCAGCUUCCAUCUGGAAUCGCAUCAUAGCACGCUCUUGGCAAUGCUGACAAAAUCUCUACAUGACAUUUGGAGAUGAAGUCUGGAGAGCCCUCAGCCAAAAAUGGUCAGAUAGGACUAAAGAACAGCUGCCUACACGUCAAGUCCAAAGUCUUCACAAUCUCUCAAGAUCCCCUAAAGAUGCAGUCACCCCUAGACAGCUGGAAGUAAAUUUAAGAACACGAUGCCCACACUUCCAAUAGUUGCGGUCUGCAUGUCUGUCAUAAGAUCCAGAAUCCCGGCCGGGCGAAUCCCGGCCGGGUGGUGGUGGCGCACGCCUUUAAUCCCAGCACUCGGGAGGGGCAGAGGCAGGUGAAUCCCUGU
This is a long non-coding RNA of Chionomys nivalis (European snow vole), 487 nucleotides long. RefSeq lists it as uncharacterized. Lineage: Eukaryota; Metazoa; Chordata; Mammalia; Rodentia; Cricetidae. The record is from RefSeq and is a predicted model, not a curated record. The transcript has 5 exons.